AAAAACAAAAUGGUAAGCAAUAUGCAACAAAUGACAUGUAUGAGCAAACCCUAGCCAAAACAGAAAUCCACACGUGCACAAUUUUCAUAAAAAUCACCAUAAAAUAGUAGACAUGGCAAGGAUCAUGGCACAAAAAAUCUUACAUCAAUUGGAUUAUUAUUUCAUGAGUUAUGAAUUUUUAAGUGUGAAGAAAAAUUAAAAAAAAGUGAAACAAGUAUGUGAACAUGUGAAGCACAAUUGGAAAUAAUGCAAAAGGCAAAUAUGAAGAAACGCUGGGAGCCAGAUG
RNAcentral lists this long non-coding RNA (286 nucleotides) under Lathyrus oleraceus (garden pea). RNAcentral describes it as "Pisum sativum (pea) long non-coding RNA (PSAT_LNC023879)". Lineage: Eukaryota; Viridiplantae; Streptophyta; Magnoliopsida; Fabales; Fabaceae. The record is from RNAcentral.